UUUUAUUUGAGAGUUUGAUCCUGGCUCAGGAUGAACGCUGGCGGCGUGCCUAACACAUGCAAGUUGAGCGAUUUACUUCGGUAAAGAGCGGCGGACGGGUGAGUAACGCGUGGGUAACCUACCCUGUACACACGGAUAACAUACCGAAAGGUAUGCUAAUACGGGAUAAUAUAUUUGAGAGGCAUCUCUUAAAUAUCAAAGGUGAGCCAGUACAGGAUGGACCCGCGUCUGAUUAGCUAGUUGGUAAGGUAACGGCUUACCAAGGCAACGAUCAGUAGCCGACCUGAGAGGGUGAUCGGCCACAUUGGAACUGAGACACGGUCCAAACUCCUACGGGAGGCAGCAGUGGGGAAUAUUGCACAAUGGGCGAAAGCCUGAUGCAGCAACGCCGCGUGAGUGAUGAAGGCCUUCGGGUCGUAAAACUCUGUCCUCAAGGAAGAUAAUGACGGUACUUGAGGAGGAAGCCCCGGCUAACUACGUGCCAGCAGCCGCGGUAAUACGUAGGGGGCUAGCGUU
RNAcentral lists this ribosomal RNA (516 nucleotides) under Clostridioides difficile. RNAcentral describes it as "bacterial SSU rRNA". It matches the Rfam family "Bacterial small subunit ribosomal RNA", at positions 1 to 542 of the family's 1533-position model. The record is from RNAcentral. Lineage: Bacteria; Bacillati; Bacillota; Clostridia; Peptostreptococcales; Peptostreptococcaceae.